ACUGGUUGGAAGAGGCAGAGUGUAGAGAUC
RNAcentral lists this non-coding RNA (30 nucleotides) under Cricetulus griseus (Chinese hamster). Lineage: Eukaryota; Metazoa; Chordata; Mammalia; Rodentia; Cricetidae. The record is from RNAcentral.